CAGAGCUACCCUGGCAGGGCUGGAGGCAGUGAUGACACGGUUACGGUGCGUUACUCCUCCCAGUAUGAGGAGAGACUGGACCCCUUCGCCUCCUUCAGCAAGAGGGAACGCCAGCGCAGAUACCUGAGCCUCAGCCCCUGGGACAAGGUUACACUCAGCCUGG
This is a long non-coding RNA of Oncorhynchus masou masou (cherry salmon), 163 nucleotides long. RefSeq lists it as uncharacterized. NCBI's taxonomy places the organism in Eukaryota, Metazoa, Chordata, Actinopteri, Salmoniformes, Salmonidae. The record is from RefSeq and is a predicted model, not a curated record. The transcript has 3 exons.